AGUGAACGCUGGCGGUAGGCCUAACACAUGCAAGUCGAACGGCAGCACAGUAAGAGCUUGCUCUUACGGGUGGCGAGUGGCGGACGGGUGAGGAAUACAUCGGAAUCUACUUUUUCGUGGGGGAUAACGUAGGGAAACUUACGCUAAUACCGCAUACGACCUACGGGUGAAAGCAGGGGAUCUUCGGACCUUGCGCGAUUGAAUGAGCCGAUGUCGGAUUAGCUAGUUGGCGGGGUAAAGGCCCACCAAGGCGACGAUCCGUAGCUGGUCUGAGAGGAUGAUCAGCCACACUGGAACUGAGACACGGUCCAGACUCCGACGGGAGGCAGCAGUGGGGAAUAUUGGACGAUGGGCGGAAGCCUGAUCCAGCCAUACCGGGUGGGUGAAGAAGGCCUUCGGGUUGUAAAGCCCUUUUGUUGGGAAAGAAAAGCAGCAGGUUAAUACCCCGCUGUUCUGACGGUACCCAAAGAAUAAGCACCGGCUAACUUCGUG
RNAcentral lists this ribosomal RNA (492 nucleotides) under uncultured bacterium. RNAcentral describes it as "partial 16S ribosomal RNA". It matches the Rfam family "Bacterial small subunit ribosomal RNA", at positions 29 to 507 of the family's 1533-position model. The record is from RNAcentral.